CUCAGCUCUCAGUUCCAGUCCAUGUCCCUUACUGAUGAAGAGGGAUGACGGCUUUAAUUUCAUUCCACUCAUUCAGUACUUCAUGGAGGCAGCCGGAAAGCGAGUUAGUCCCCAUGCAGAAUAGCAGCCAGGCAGAGCACAUCACUCCUUCUGCUGUUGCUGUAACAGAUUCCUUAAGACUGGGUA
This 186-nucleotide long non-coding RNA is filed under the name Chinchilla lanigera (long-tailed chinchilla). RNAcentral describes it as "lncRNA (ENSCLAG00000022474.1)". The record is from RNAcentral. Lineage: Eukaryota; Metazoa; Chordata; Mammalia; Rodentia; Chinchillidae.